Molecule: long non-coding RNA, 319 nt
Organism: Ctenopharyngodon idella (grass carp)
Lineage: Eukaryota; Metazoa; Chordata; Actinopteri; Cypriniformes; Xenocyprididae
Exons: 2
Source: RefSeq, a predicted model, not a curated record
UUAGAAAAUUUUAUUUAGAAAUUUUAUUUUAUACAAUAAUCUCAAGAAGGCGAAGAAAUCGUUCUUCUCUCUCUCCUUUCCUCUCUCUCGAUUGCUUCUUGAUGUCUUCUUUCUUCUCUUUCUCUGGCUUCUCGUUCCCGUUUUGUCCUCUCGCUCUUGUCUUUCUCUUUCUCUACGUUCCUCCCUCUCCUCCAUUUCCCGCCAUCGUCUCUCCUCCCUCUCUGUUGCUUCUCGCACUCUCUCAGCCUCCCUCUCCUCCAUCUCCCGGAUUAGGUCCUCAAAGUUUUUUCUUUUUGUCCCAGUUCUCUCUGGCUCUGGG